Molecule: ribosomal RNA, 869 nt
Filed under: Streptomyces sp. RO-10
Lineage: Bacteria; Bacillati; Actinomycetota; Actinomycetes; Kitasatosporales; Streptomycetaceae
Description: bacterial SSU rRNA
Rfam family: Bacterial small subunit ribosomal RNA
Source: RNAcentral
CUGGCUCAGGACGAACGCUGGCGGCGUGCUUAACACAUGCAAGUCGAACGAUGAAGCCCUUUCGGGGUGGAUUAGUGGCGAACGGGUGAGUAACACGUGGGCAAUCUGCCCUGCACUCUGGGACAAGCCCUGGAAACGGGGUCUAAUACCGGAUAUGACACACGACCGCAUGGUCUGUGUGUGGAAAGCUCCGGCGGUGCAGGAUGAGCCCGCGGCCUAUCAGCUUGUUGGUGGGGUAAUGGCCUACCAAGGCGACGACGGGUAGCCGGCCUGAGAGGGCGACCGGCCACACUGGGACUGAGACACGGCCCAGACUCCUACGGGAGGCAGCAGUGGGGAAUAUUGCACAAUGGGCGCAAGCCUGAUGCAGCGACGCCGCGUGAGGGAUGACGGCCUUCGGGUUGUAAACCUCUUUCAGCAGGGAAGAAGCGCAAGUGACGGUACCUGCAGAAGAAGCGCCGGCUAACUACGUGCCAGCAGCCGCGGUAAUACGUAGGGCGCAAAGCGUUGUCCGGAAUUAUUGGGCGUAAAGAGCUCGUAGGCGGCUUGUCGCGUCGGAUGUGAAAGCCCGGGGCUUUAMCCCCGGGGUCUGCAUUUCGAUACGGGCAGGGCUAGAGUUCGGUAGGGGAGAUCGGAAUUUCCUGGUGUAGCGGGUGAAGAUGCGCAGAUAUCAGGAGGAACACCGGUGGCGAAGGCGGAUCUCUGGGGCCGAUUACUGACGCUGAGGAGCGAAAGCGUGGGGGAGCGAACAKGAUUUAGAUACCCUGGUAGUCCACGCCCGUAAACGUUUGGGAACUAGGUGUGGGGCGACAUUCCACGUCGUCCGUGCCGCARCUAACGCAUUUAWGUUCCCCCGCCUGGUGGAGUAC